RNAcentral lists this ribosomal RNA (301 nucleotides) under uncultured bacterium. RNAcentral's name for it is "partial 16S ribosomal RNA". It matches the Rfam family "Bacterial small subunit ribosomal RNA", at positions 509 to 807 of the family's 1533-position model. The record is from RNAcentral.
CAGUCGCCGCGGGAAAACGUAGGUGGCAAGCGUUGUCCGGAAUUAUUGGGCGUAAAGGGCUCGCAGGCGGUUUCUUAGGUCUGAUGUGAAAGCCCCCGGCUCAACCGGGGAGGGUCAUUGGAAACUGGGAAACUUGAGUGCAGAAGAGGAGAGUGGAAUUCCACGUGUAGCGGUGAAAUGCGUAGAGAUGUGGAGGAACACCAGUGGCGAAGGCGACUCUCUGGUCUGUAACUGACGCUGAGGAGCGAAAGCGUGGGGAGCGAACAGGAUUAGAUACCCCCGUAGUCCCUGUCUCUUAUAC